RNAcentral lists this unclassified non-coding RNA (348 nucleotides) under soil metagenome. Its description in RNAcentral is "partial contains 5.8S ribosomal RNA, internal transcribed spacer 2, and large subunit ribosomal RNA". The stretch from base 1 to 120 matches the Rfam family "5.8S ribosomal RNA", at positions 35 to 154 of the family's 154-position model. The record is from RNAcentral.
GAUGAAGAACGUAGCGAAAUGCGAUAAGUAAUGUGAAUUGCAGAAUUCAGUGAAUCAUCGAGUCUUUGAACGCACAUUGCGCCCCCUGGUAUUCCGGGGGGCAUGCCUGUCCGAGCGUCAUUGCUGCCCUCAAGCACGGCUUGUGUGUUGGGCCCCCGUCCCCGGUUUCCCCCGGGGACGGGCCCGAAAGGCAGCGGCGGCACCGCGUCCGGUCCUCGAGCGUAUGGGGCUUUGUCACCCGCUCUGUAGGCCCGGCCGGCGCCAGCCGACACCCAACUUUAUUUCUAAGGUUGACCUCGGAUCAGGUAGGGAAACCCGCUGAACUUAAGCAUAUCAAUAAGCGGAGGA